Long non-coding RNA from Bubalus bubalis (water buffalo), 195 nucleotides. RefSeq lists it as uncharacterized. The transcript is spliced from 2 exons. Lineage: Eukaryota; Metazoa; Chordata; Mammalia; Artiodactyla; Bovidae. The record is from RefSeq and is a predicted model, not a curated record.
UAUCCUCUGCGACCAUUUAUUUGCCUGGGCUUCGAAGACCCACUCGAUAAGGUGUCUAAGGAUUCUUCGGCAGAGUAUUCAGAGGCUCGCGACUGAGCUACAUCUGGCUGUUUUAAGAAAUAAAAAACGGGGAGAUGCCGGGAGCCGGCGAGAGACAUUCCACUCGUGACAAAGGUCAUGAGGAAGGAGGCUGGG